GGAGGGUGUGAGCGUUAUUCGGAAUUAUUGGGCGUAAAGAGCGCGUAGGCGGUCUUUUAAGUCAGAUGUGAAAGCCCGAGGCUUAACCUCGGAAGUGCAUUUGAAACUAAGAGACUUGAGUAUGGGAGAGGGAAGUGGAAUUCCUGGUGUAGAGGUGAAAUUCGUAGAUAUCAGGAGGAACACCGGUGGCGAAGGCGACUUCCUGGACCAAUACUGACGCUGAGGCGCGAAGGCGUGGGUAGCAAACAGGAUUAGAUACCCUGGUAGUCCACGCAGUAAACGGUGAACACUAGGUGUAGCGGGUAUUGACCCCCUGCUGUGCCCGAAGCUAACGCAUUAAGUGUUCCGCCUGGGGGAGUACGACCGCAAGGUUA
RNAcentral lists this ribosomal RNA (374 nucleotides) under uncultured organism. Its description in RNAcentral is "partial 16S ribosomal RNA". It matches the Rfam family "Bacterial small subunit ribosomal RNA", at positions 527 to 896 of the family's 1533-position model. The record is from RNAcentral.